UGGUCAGGUCGGUGUUGCGAGGCUUGUUGGUCAAUGGAGGUCGGAGCGGCAGAUACAUUUCGACGGCAACGGCUGCGUCGACUGCUGGUGUUUUGAAGCCGACGGAGGUUUGGACGGAGUUAAGGAGCAGAUAUGGUACGUCUUUUGAUGUGUUUUACUGGAGGAGGAUGAUAAGCAGCAAUGCGACGGAGACAGCGGUGGCUGAGAAGGUGAAGACGGAGAAGUCGGUGGAGAAACAAGCGGAGAAAGGAGUGGAAUCGUUUAAGACGAGUGAUGGUACGGUGGUCUCGAGUUACUGGGGGAUUUCGAAGCCUAAGAUCUUGAGAGAAGAUGGCACCGAGUGGCCAUGGAAUUGCUUCAUGCC
Molecule: unclassified non-coding RNA, 364 nt
Filed under: Hevea brasiliensis (rubber tree)
Lineage: Eukaryota; Viridiplantae; Streptophyta; Magnoliopsida; Malpighiales; Euphorbiaceae
Source: RNAcentral